RNAcentral lists this ribosomal RNA (551 nucleotides) under uncultured bacterium. Its description in RNAcentral is "bacterial SSU rRNA". It matches the Rfam family "Bacterial small subunit ribosomal RNA", at positions 355 to 896 of the family's 1533-position model. The record is from RNAcentral.
UGGGGAAUAUUGCGCAAUGGGCGAAAGCCUGACGCAGCGACGCCGUGUGGGUGAUGAAGGCUUUCGGGUCGUAAAACCCUGUCGGGUGGAACGAAUCUCCAUCCUGCAAAUASUGGGAUGGAUUGACGGUACCACCGAAGGAAGCCCCGGCUAACUACGUGCCAGCAGCCGCGGUAAUACGUAGGGGGCGAGCGUUGUUCGGAUUUACUGGGCGUAAAGAGCGCGUAGGUGGUCCGAUAAGUCGGAGGUGAAAKCCCUCGGCUCAACCGAGGAUACGCGUCCGAUACUGCCGGACUUGAGGACAGGAGAGGAGAGCGGAAUUCCCAGUGUAGCGGUGAAAUGCGUAGAUAUUGGGAGGAACACCUGUGGCGAAGGCGGCUCUCUGGCCUGUUUCUGACACUGAGGCGCGAAAGCUAGGGGAGCAAACGGGAUUAGAUACCCCGGUAGUCCUAGCUGUAAACGAUGGGCACUAGGUGUGGGAGGUAUCGACCCCUUCUGUGCCGCAGCUAACGCAUUAAGUGCCCCGCCUGGGGAGUACGGCCGCAAGGUUG